This 544-nucleotide ribosomal RNA is filed under the name uncultured bacterium. RNAcentral's name for it is "bacterial SSU rRNA". It matches the Rfam family "Bacterial small subunit ribosomal RNA", at positions 777 to 1319 of the family's 1533-position model. The record is from RNAcentral.
AAUAGAUACCCCGGUAGUCCACGCCGUAAACGAUGAGUGCUAAGUGUUAGGGGGUUUCCGCCCCUUAGUGCUGCAGCUAACGCAUUAAGCACUCCGCCUGGGGAGUACGGUCGCAAGACUGAAACUCAAAGGAAUUGACGGGGGCCCGCACAAGCGGUGGAGCAUGUGGUUUAAUUCGAAGCAACGCGAAGAACCUUACCAGGUCUUGACAUCCCAUUGACCGCUAUGGAGACAUGGCUUUCCCUUCGGGGACAGUGGUGACAGGUGGUGCAUGGUUGUCGUCAGCUCGUGUCGUGAGAUGUUGGGUUAAGUCCCGCAACGAGCGCAACCCUUGUUCUUAGUUGCCAUCAUUUAGUUGGGCACUCUAAGGAGACUGCCGGUGACAAACCGGAGGAAGGUAGGGAUGACGUCAAAUCAUCAUGCCCCUUAUGACCUGGGCUACACACGUGCUACAAUGGACGGUACAAACGGUUGCCAACCCGCGAGGGGGAGCUAAUCCGAUAAAACCGUUCUCAGUUCGGAUUGUAGGCUGCAACUCGCCUAC